This 195-nucleotide non-coding RNA is filed under the name Novosphingobium barchaimii. Lineage: Bacteria; Pseudomonadati; Pseudomonadota; Alphaproteobacteria; Sphingomonadales; Sphingomonadaceae. The record is from RNAcentral.
CAGCACGGCCACGUCAGGGGUUGUCCGGCUUGCCGGACCGAAGAGGGAAUUUCGGUGCGAAUCCGAAGCUGCUCCCGCAACUGUGACCGGAGAGUCUGCACUCAUCCAUGCCACUGGCGGCCGCUGUGUCUCCGGGAAGGCGAGGGCAGGCGGUGAUCCGGGAGCCAGGAGACCUGCCCGAUUUGACGGUCGUUC